GCCGGCGUAGCUCAGUUGGUAGAGCAGCUGAUUCGUAAUCAGCAGGUCAGCGGUUCGAGUCCGCUCGCCGGCUCCA
This 76-nucleotide transfer RNA is filed under the name Gammaproteobacteria bacterium. Its description in RNAcentral is "tRNA-Thr". It matches the Rfam family "tRNA". From Rfam's summary of the family: Transfer RNA (tRNA) molecules are approximately 80 nucleotides in length. Lineage: Bacteria; Pseudomonadati; Pseudomonadota; Gammaproteobacteria. RNAcentral also lists the same sequence under 5 other names. The record is from RNAcentral.